AGGGCGUGUAGUGGAUGCCUUGGCACUGAAAGCCGAUGAAGGACGUGAUAUACUGCGAUAAGUUUCGGGGAGCUGUAUGUAAGCUUUGAUCCGAAAAUUUCCGAAUGGGGAAACCCACCACUUUAUGUGGUACUUUAAACUGAAUACAUAGGUUUAAAGAGACAACCUGGAGAACUGAAACAUCUAAGUAACCAGAGGAAAAGAAAUCAAUUGAGAUUCCGUUAGUAGUGGCGAGCGAACGCGGAGUAGGCCAGUAGUUUUGUUAGAAAAAUUUGAAUAGUUUGGAAAUGCUAACCAUAGAGGGUGAUAGUCCCGUAUGAGUAAUGUCUAACAAAAUUCUUGAGUAAAGCGGGACACGAGAAAUCCUGCUCGAAUAUAGGGGGACCACCCUCUAAGCCUAAAUACUCUUCAGUGACCGAUAGUGAACUAGUACCGUGAGGGAAAGGUGAAAAGAACCCCUAUUAGGGGAGUGAAAUAGAACCUGAAACUGCAUGCCUACAAUCAGUCCGAGCCCUUUUUAGGGUGAGGGCGUACCUUUUGUAUAAUGGGUCAGUGACUUAAUUUAUUAAGCAAGCUUAAGCCAUCUAGGUGUAGGCGCAGCGAAAGCAAGUCUUAAUAGGGCGAUUAGUUUAAUGAAUUAGACCCGAAAACGAAUGAGCUUACCAUGAGCAGGUUGAAAGUUGGGUAACACCAACCGGAGGACCGAACCAGUUGACGUUGAAAAGUCUUUGGAUGACUUGUGGUAAGGGGUGAAAGGCCAACCAAAUUCGUAGAUAGCUGGUUUUCCGCGAAAACUAUUUAGGUAGUGCCUCACGUAUCACCUUCGGGGGUAGAGCACUGUUAUGGCUAGGGGUCCAUCCUGGAUUACCAAACCAUUGCAAACUCCGAAUACCAACAAGUAGAGCACGGGAGACAGACUGCGGGUGCUAACGUCCGUAGUCGAGAGGGAAACAACCCAGACCACCAGCUAAGGUCCCUAAUAUCAGUUAAGUGGGAAACGAUGUGGGAAGGCUCAGACAGCUAGGAGGUUGGCUUAGAAGCAGCCAUCCUUUAAAGAAAGCGUAAUAGCUCACUAGUCGAGUCGGCCUGCGCGGAAGAUAUACCGGGGCUCAAACUGAUAACCGAAGCUGUGGAUGCGCACGAUGUGCGUGUGGUAGAGGAGCGUUCUGUAAGCCGUUGAAGGUGAACUGUGAGGUUUGCUGGAGGUAUCAGAAGUGCGAAUGCUGACAUGAGUAACGAUAAGGGGAGUGAAAAGCUCCCCCGCCGGAAGACCAAGGUUUCCUAUCCAAUGCUAAUCAGGGUAGGGUGAGUCGGCCCCUAAGGCGAGGCUGAAGAGCGUAGUCGAUGGGAAGCAGGUUAAUAUUCCUGCACCACUCAAUAUUGCGAAGGAGGGACGGAGAAGGCUAGUCCAGCGCGGCGUUGGUUGUCCGCGUUUAAGCGUGUAGGCUUAAAUCUUAGGUAAAUCCGGGAUUUUUUAAGGCUGAGGCGUGAUGACGAGGUCCAUUAGGACUGAAGUGGUUGAUGCCAUGCUUCCAGGAAAAGCUUCUAAGCUAUAGAUAUUGAGUGACCGUACCCCAAACCGACACAGGUGGUCAGGUAGAGAAUACCAAGGCGCUUGAGAGAACUAUGGUGAAGGAACUAGGCAAAAUGGUGCCGUAACUUCGGGAGAAGGCACGCCGAUUUUGGUGAUGGGAUUUACUCCCUAAGCUGAGGUUGGCCGCAGAGACCAGGCCCCUGCGACUGUUUAUCUAAAACACAGCACUCUGCAAACUCGUAAGAGGAAGUAUAGGGUGUGACGCCUGCCCGGUGCCGGAAGGUUAAUUGAUGGGGUUAUUCUUCGGAAGAAGCUCUUGAUCGAAGCCCCGGUAAACGGCGGCCGUAACUAUAACGGUCCUAAGGUAGCGAAAUUCCUUGUCGGGUAAGUUCCGACCUGCACGAAUGGCGUAACGAUGGCCACACUGUCUCCACCAUAGACUCAGUGAAAUUGAAAUCGCUGUUAAGAUGCAGUGUAUCCGCGGCUAGACGGAAAGACCCCGUGAACCUUUACUAUAGCUUCACAGUGAACUUUGAACCUAUUUGUGUAGGAUAGGUGGGAGGCUUUGAAACUGGGACGCUAGUCUCAGUGGAGCCAAACUUGAAAUACCACCCUGGUAUGUUUGAGGUUCUAACUCAGGUCCGUAAUCCGGAUCGAGGACACUGUGUGGUGGGUAGUUUGACUGGGGCGGUCUCCUCCCAAAGAGUAACGGAGGAGCGCGAAGGUACACUCAGCAUGGUCGGAAAUCAUGCUAUGAGCGCAAAGGUAGAAGUGUGCUUGACUGCGAGACUGACACGUCGAGCAGGUACGAAAGUAGGUCUUAGUGAUCCGGUGGUUCUGUAUGGAAGGGCCAUCGCUCAACGGAUAAAAGGUACUCCGGGGAUAACAGGCUGAUACCGCCCAAGAGUUCACAUCGACGGCGGUGUUUGGCACCUCGAUGUCGGCUCAUCACAUCCUGGGGCUGAAGCCGGUCCCAAGGGUAUGGCUGUUCGCCAUUUAAAGUGGUACGCGAGCUGGGUUCAGAACGUCGUGAGACAGUUCGGUCCCUAUCUGCCGUGGGCGUUUGAGAUUUGAGAGGAGCUGCUCCUAGUACGAGAGGACCGGAGUGGACGCACCCCUGGUGUUCCGGUUGUCACGCCAGUGGCAUUGCCGGGUAGCUAUGUGCGGACAGGAUAACCGCUGAAAGCAUCUAAGCGGGAAGCCUCUCCCAAGAUUAGAUCUCCCAUAGACUUCGGUCUACUAAAGAGUCGUCAUAGACUAUGACGUUGAUAGGCAAGGUGUGUAAGCGCUGUGAGGCGUUGAGCUAACUAGUACUAAUUGCUCGUGAGGCUUGAUC
RNAcentral lists this ribosomal RNA (2870 nucleotides) under marine metagenome. RNAcentral's name for it is "bacterial LSU rRNA". It matches the Rfam family "Bacterial large subunit ribosomal RNA". The record is from RNAcentral.